RNAcentral lists this transfer RNA (68 nucleotides) under Hypolimnas anthedon (variable eggfly). RNAcentral describes it as "tRNA-Trp". The record is from RNAcentral. Lineage: Eukaryota; Metazoa; Arthropoda; Insecta; Lepidoptera; Nymphalidae.
AAGGUUUUAAGUUAAGUUAAACUAAUAAUCUUCAAAAUUGUUUAUAAAGAAUUCCCUUUAAGCCUUAG